UGAGAAAUGGCUACCACAUCUAAGGAAGGCAGCAGGCGCGUAAAUUACCCAAUCCUAAUUCAGGGAGGUAGUGACAAGAAAUAACAACUCGGACCUCACACGAGGUUACGAGAUUGCAAUGAGAUCAAUUUAAACCUCUUAUCGAGUAACAACUGGAGGGCAUGUCUGGUGCCAGCAGCCGCGGUAAUUCCAGCUCCAAUAGCGUAUAUUAAAGUUGUUGCAGUUAAAAAGCUCGUAGUUGAAUUUCUGGCCGGCGCUGUUCACGGCUCUCGCAGUCGGUUCAGGAGCCUGGUCAUCCGUAUGGGAAGCUAGCUCGUCCUUCGGUGGUCGGCUAGUGGAUCAUACACUUUACUUUGAAAAAAUUAGAGUGUUUCUGGCAGGCAAUUGCUUGGAUACUGCAGCAUGGAAUAAUGGAAUAGGACUUUGACCUAUUUGUUGGUUUCUUGAGGUCAAAGUAAUGAUUAAUAGGGACAGUUGGGGGCAUCCGUAUUUAAUUGUCAGAGGUGAAAUUCUUGGAUUUAUUAAAGACGAACUUAUGCGAAAGCAUUUGCCAAGGAUGUUUUCA
RNAcentral lists this ribosomal RNA (565 nucleotides) under uncultured ciliate. Its description in RNAcentral is "SSU rRNA". It matches the Rfam family "Eukaryotic small subunit ribosomal RNA", at positions 397 to 972 of the family's 1831-position model. Lineage: Eukaryota; Ciliophora. The record is from RNAcentral.